UCACAAGGCUUUGGUCGCCCGAGUCUAUAGCAGAAGUCACUCGCUCAAGGUGCCACGCAGUGGGACUGAACCCGGAACCAUGUGCUUGGUUCGCAAGCUACUUAACGCACCGCCAACCCCGCCUCUAUUUCGAGAGUCAUCUCCACUUACUUGCCAUCUCCUAUUCCAACUUAAAUCUACUUCCGGCAUCAGUAAAUUUGAAAUUAAUUUGGACCCGGAUCCGGUGCAACCGUUUCAAACUAAACUGAGAAGACAUGGACUCAAUCUAUAAUAAAAUUUGUAAUAAUGAUGUGGAAGGAUUGAAAAUCUUACUUGAGGAGGAGCCAGGCAAAAUUAAUAAACCUAUUGAUGGAGAUGGAACAACUCCUUUAAUCUUUGCCUCUCAAGUGGGCGCCGAUAGAAGAAUCAUCGACAUUUUGAUAAAAGCUGGUGCGAAGUUGGGAGCGAAAGACGGAUUGAGUGGUUGGACAGCUUUGCAUUGGGCUGUGAGGAGGUUAAUCCUCGAGAUGAAGGUGGUCGAACACCGCUGCACUUCGCCUGUUGGUGGGGAUCCUUGCACACUGUCGAUCUUUUGUUGGGUCACAAUGGCAUUGAAGCCAAUGUGAUUAACAACGAUGGAGACACACCACUGCAUAAGGCAGUUCAGCACCAACACUAUAAAGUGGUGUGUGCGAUGCUGAAGCAGGAUUCGGUGAAUUUAGAAAUUGUGAACAAAAAAUAUAGGACACCAUUGCUUGAAGCUGUCUCGGACGGUCACCUCGGAAUAAUGCAGCGGCUGAUAGCCAGGGGCACGAAUGUAAAUGUUGUUGAACAUGGAGGAAAUAAUUGCCUGCAUCUGGCGUUAAAAAGAAAAAACAACUUUCAUUCUGAGGUGGAGCACAUGACCAUGUUAGAUCAGGUAAGUUUUCACAUUGUUUGUGACUAUGUGUGUGUGUGUGUGUGUGUGUGUGUGCAUUUGUGCGUCUGUGUGUGUGUGUUUGUGUGUGUGUGCGUGUGUGUGUGCAUUUGUGCGUCUGUGUGUGUGUAAAAUAGACAAACUGACAGAGAAAGACAGACAGAAACAGACAUUGUUUAUAUCGCAAUUCUCACCUACCAACCCCAUCCUCCAUUACCAUUUCCUGAUCCAGUCACAAUGGUAACCCUUAGUUAUAUUAUUAUGUAACAAACACUAUUCUCUAUCCGUCCCCUUCCGUCCUCAAAGGCACGACCUCUCCAUGGUAGAGAAGGUGAUCCAUCUCGAAUGUUGGCCAUACAAACACGGUCAUCAAAAUUUGAAGGAGAAAUGAUCUAUUCAAGACAGGAGAUAUUAUUCUGAAUUAACAAUGAUACUGGGUAGAAGAGAGGUUCAUAUGAUAGACAGUAACAUUUAUAGUGCUGGUGCCAUGAUAAUAAAUACAUCUUGUCCAUUCCAUGAAGAAUUCUGCCUGAAACAGCUCUCUGUCACAUUUCUUUUAUAUAAU
Molecule: unclassified non-coding RNA, 1460 nt
Filed under: Octopus sinensis (East Asian common octopus)
Lineage: Eukaryota; Metazoa; Mollusca; Cephalopoda; Octopoda; Octopodidae
Description: 26S proteasome non-ATPase regulatory subunit 10-like, transcript variant X2
Source: RNAcentral